CGCCUCCUCCUCGUUCUCGCGGGAGAGCUCCUCGAGCGAGAGGCCGUUGGACUCGGGCGCGCAGAAGGUGAAGCCCAUGCCGAGGAAGUUGCAGGCGGCGAGGAUGAAGAGCGAGUUCCUCACCCCGAUGCCGGCCUUGUACCCGUGGUCCACCUUGGCCGGGUCCUGGUUCUGCGCCAGGUACAGGAACCCGAACGACCCCACGAUGGCGCCCAGCUUCCCGGCCGCCGCCGAGAUGCCGUGGCACGUCGACCGGAGCCUCGCCGGGAAGAUCUCGGCGGGAACGAUGAAGGUGGUGGAGUUGGGCCCGAAGUUGGCGAAGAAGAAGGUGAGCCCGUACAGCACCACGAACCCGAUGUGGUUCCCCGGCGUCGUCCAGUGGUGGUACGGGAAGGCGAGCCCCAGCAUGAACACCGCCAUGAAGAAGAAGCCGCCCAGCUGGAUCCAGAACCGCCCGAUCCGGUCGAUCAGCGCCACCGUGAACCAGUAGCCCGGCACCGUGCCGCAGAGCGCGAUGAGCGUCUGCGCGCGCGCGAUGCGAUGCACCUCCUCGAGGGCGCUCAUCGUCUUGGCCUUGGGGAUCCAGUUGAUCGCCGUGAAAAUGUCCUUCUGGAACAGGUUCUGCGAGUAGAAGGCGAUGUCCAGCAGGAACCAGCAGGUGGCCGUGCCGAGGAGGUGGAGCCCGUGCCGGCGCAGGAACUCGCCCGAGAAGAGCCCGAACGAGUUGCGGUCGUCGGCGGCUCCGGCGCCGCCGUCGUUGGCCUUGGGGUCCUCUUCCUCGGCGCCGAUGUCCACCUGGAGCACCUUGGACAUGUCGGCCGCGGCCUGCUUGGCGUUCUUGGCGACGAGCGCCGUGUAGCGCGCCGUCUCGGGCAUCUUCAUCCGCCAGUAGUAGGUCAUGAGGGCCGGGACGGCGCCGAACAUGAGGAUGAAGCGCCACACGAAGUCGGCCUGCGGCGGCGUGGAGGCGAGGGGGGCGUCCUGGUAGGCGGGCGUGUGGAAGGCGGCGCGGAACGCGGCGGAGACGAUGAGCGUGACGACGCCGCCGGUGAGGAUGCCGAAGCCCUGCAUGGCGAAGACGGCGGCGAUGAACGCGCCCCUCGUCUUCUUGUUGGCGUACUCGGACAUGAUGGUGGCGGAGGCGAUGGAGCAGAGCACCAUGCACAUGAGCGUCAUGCCGUAGACGCGCUUGCGGCCCAUGCGGUCGCCGAGCCAGCCGAAGAAGAGCUGGCCGGAGAGCGUGCCGCAGAAGGCGACGCCGUUGACGGCGGCGGCGACGUUGGGCGGGAGCGAGCCGGGCGCGUCGGCGCCCUCGCGGUAGUAGUAGAUGCGGCCGAGCAGCUUGGUGACGAGGGAGAUGCAGAAGAGGUCGUAGGCGUCGGUGAAGAAGCCCAUGCCGGCGAUGACGAUGGCCGUGAAGUGGUACCACUGCGUCUUGGCCGCGUCCAGCGCCGUCAGCACCUCCAGCUGCUCGCGCGCCAU
This 1482-nucleotide ribosomal RNA is filed under the name Triticum aestivum (bread wheat). RNAcentral describes it as "partial small subunit ribosomal RNA". Lineage: Eukaryota; Viridiplantae; Streptophyta; Magnoliopsida; Poales; Poaceae. The record is from RNAcentral.